UGCGAAAUACCCCUGGUGCUCUACAACAG
Molecule: small RNA, 29 nt
Filed under: Bombyx mori (domestic silkworm)
Lineage: Eukaryota; Metazoa; Arthropoda; Insecta; Lepidoptera; Bombycidae
Description: ovarian small RNA-33921
Source: RNAcentral